GCGCAGGCGGUUGGAAUAGUCUGAUGUGAAAGCCCACGGCUCAACCGUGGAGGGUCAUUGGAAACUGGGGGACUUGAGUGCAGAAGAGGAGAGUGGAAUUCCAUGUGUAGCGGUGAAAUGCGCAGAGAUAUGGAGGAACACCAGUGGCGAAGGCGGCUCUCUGGUCUGUAACUGACGCUGAUGUGCGAAAGCGUGGGGAUCAA
RNAcentral lists this ribosomal RNA (203 nucleotides) under uncultured bacterium. Its description in RNAcentral is "partial 16S ribosomal RNA". It matches the Rfam family "Bacterial small subunit ribosomal RNA", at positions 569 to 771 of the family's 1533-position model. The record is from RNAcentral.